This is a long non-coding RNA of Populus euphratica (Euphrates poplar), 3899 nucleotides long. RefSeq lists it as uncharacterized. The record is from RefSeq and is a predicted model, not a curated record. The transcript is spliced from 3 exons. Lineage: Eukaryota; Viridiplantae; Streptophyta; Magnoliopsida; Malpighiales; Salicaceae.
CUCUGUCUCGUCCUUCCCUUCGCUUCUCUCACCUCCUCUCUCCUUCCCUUUUCAAUUCCCUCUCUCUCGUCCUCCUUAUCUUUUCUCUACCAACACAACAAUCAUCGCUUCUCUACUUACACAUCUCCUACCCCCGCCUCUUUUCCUUCUUCUCGUAUCUUUUCUCUUCCCUUUCCCCAUCUCUCCUCCUUUUUCCCUCGACCUCUCCCUCCUUCCUCCUUUUCUUAAAAUGUAUUUUACAUAUUAUAUGUAAAUUUGACAGAGCUGUCAAGUGCUUAAUAGUCUAAGACUAAUUAAUUAGUCUUUAAAACUACAAGUAUUAUUUGAUUCGUUUUGAAAACUACAAGUGACUAAUUUAUAAUUCACUCGCUUAAAGCCUAUGCACAUACACAGAAAAGGCCUAUCUGCCUCUUAAACCUCAAUUCUAAAACCCUUUCACCCUGCUGUCUCUCUGCAAUCUAAUAGAUUAAACAAACGAUACCAUACCUCCUGUUUCAGACACCCUGAAGCUGCUAAUGUUCCUCAGUAAAGCCUGUUUGGUGUCUCUAUACUGCGGAUUCCUCUUCGCAAACUUGCCCGGUCAGUCACUGCUCAUUUCCACACGCAUAUAUGUUAAGUUUUCUUGUUUAAGGAAUCGAAAUGGAGCAGUUUUUUGUUGAUUUCACAUAUUUGUGAUUGGUUGCAAGUAGGUGAUUUAAUUGUGUGACUGACAUAUUUGGUGGGCGAGUUGUGGCUUUUAACUGCUAUUGUGUCAGUUUAUUUUCUAUUACUUUGUGAUUAUACAAUAGAGUCUAAAGUUGCCAAAUUGCAUAACUGUGUUUCAGUAUAAUUUGAAAAUAGACAUAACUUUGUAAACAUGGAAGGGGAACAAGCAAUAUUGGGUUGCUUCACCGUUACCUUGGUUCAUAUAUUUUACAGAAAAAUAUAAAAUUAGUUGACUUUUCCUAGGAUGGUUGUAAUGCCUUUAUAUCUUAGAGGAAAUCUUGCACCUAUGUUAUGCAUGUGGAACAAGUUUCUGAUCAUUCGGACAGGGUCUGAUACCAAAGCUUGAUAAUCGCAUCAUAUUUUGUAGAGUUAGCAUAAUUUGCUACAUAAAAUGGUCUGAUUAAUUUCUUAUGUUUACAUAGAGAUUUAAUUAGAUGAUAUGAUGUAUCUUGUAAUUUUGAUUAUGUGCCUAAUAUUUUUUGUCAUUUCUUCGGUCGUACUGCUAUUUUUUUGUUUGAAAGUGAAGAACUUGUAUCGUGUUUCCAUGUCAUUUUUCAACUUUCAUAUCACAACAGCAAAUAUAAUUGUAGUAUAGUUCUUUUUAUGGUUGAUAUUAGCAACUCAAGAAACUACUUUCGCCAGGUUUUUUUGGAUCCAUCUGGUGAAGGGCACCCUGCCAAUACUCAAAUCUAUAAUCAUUCCCAUUCAAGAAAUUCAAGCAGCCCUUAUACAUCAAUUUUUCAAUCCAGUUGUCUUCAGCACAGGUUAAAAAAAUGGUAAGAUCAAAGAAAGCUUCAGUGGGGCAAUUGGUUUCUGGCGUCACAGGAGAGUCCAGCUCUGGUUAGAGAAACUUGGUGCAAAAGAACCAUUUUAUGGUAACGUGGCUAUCUGUUGGACCAAUGCCAAAGAAGAGGAAGCACUUGAAAGAUAUAAGUUGAUUACAGGAAAUAUAGUUUUGUUUCCCAAGUUUCAGGUCCACGGUAAAAACAGCUUAGACGAUGAUUGGCUUGCAGCUUUCAUCUGAUGGGCUAGUUGACAAGUGUUCUGGGUUGAACUCCAGAGGAGUGUUGGAAAUAAAAUGUCCAUUUUUUAAAGGAGAAAUGUGCAGGGCUUCACCUUGGAAGCAGAUCCCUCUUUAUUGUGUUCCACAAGCUGAUGUUUUAAUCGCAAUACUUGACAAGGAUUGGAUGGAUUUCUAUGUUUGGACUCCUAAUGGAAGCGGUCUGUUUGUGUUAUGUUGAGACGAGGCAUAUUGGAUGCUCUGAAAAUAGCACUUUCUGAUCUCUGGAUUAAUCAUGUACUGCCAGCAAAGGAGUUGUGAAGUAAAAGAGAUAACAGCUCCCCUGAAAGAAUUAGGAUCAUUGAAGCCUGAAGUCUGCACCAAGGCAUGAAUUGUAUAGCUAUAUAGUUUAUGAAAGUUAACAAAUUGUUGAAAGCUCCCACUUAAAGAUGCUCGAAAUUAGUGGGCAACUUCAAAACUGAUGCAAUUAGGAAUUGAUGAGCUGGGGCAUCUCGCUACAGUUUGAAUAGAUGAACUUGUGUAGGUGUCUUUUUUCGUUAUUUUCUACCUGCAGCUAUGAGAAAAGUCAAAUGUAUCUGAUAUUAAACAAACGAUGACCCCUUCUUGUUGGUGCAGGUUGCAUUGCAUCUUCUGCACUCUGACUUCUUCUUCUUUAUGUUUUUUAAUUAGUAUUGUUAUUAAGUAGACGAAUUAUGAGAUUUGAUCAGAAAGUGAGGAACAGGGUUAGGCAGUUUGAGUGGAACCAGAUUAGAGCAACUUGGGUUGUUAGCAGCAUGGAGAUAACUCAGCCCGAUCACUGUCCUUCCUCCCCUGCUGAUUAGUGCAGUGCUUUGAAUAUUUUCGCUUACCAACUUUGAGUUAUGAAGAUUUGUUGGCUUGUCUACUUUGGACCGACACACGUGCAAGAGGCACACAUUGAGAGAUGGCAGGUCAGUUGUGCACGAUUAAUCAUCAAGUUUUGCGACAUCACUAUCCAAAAUACUGCAAUUUGAGUAACAGGAUAAAUUGGGACCAUGAUUUUUGGUGUUAGAGCUUCGAUGCUGUUACAUAUUCUCCAUAAACUGCAUACAAGGGAGGUGUGAGCACUUUGUAGUGAUAGCAAGGUAACCAUUAAAACUUUUUAGGUGGGAACUAGCACUUCAAUUUUUCUUUCCUGACUUAUAGAUGAGGUUUAAAAAGGAUAUAGCAAAAUACAGAGUUGUAAAUUCAGCUUCCCAUCAGAUAAAUCCUUAGUAGGUUUUAAAUUUAUCGGACAAGCAAUAAAAAUAGGGAAAAUCUGACUACUUCCAGCCAGCUCAAUUACAACAGUUGGGCUCCAUGCAUUAUAUUACACUAAACUCAAGACUAGUUCAUUAAUAUCAAAAAACCUUCAACAUGCAAUAUACUAUGAUGUGCUUGCAAAUGUCAGAACAACGAAAUACAAGAUAUAAAUGAAAACGAACAUGCUGAGACAUACUGAAGACUGAGAUCAAGGAAAAAUGCAUUAUUUGCCUCGGAUUUACUGCAAGACUGGGGAAGAAAGCAAGAUCUGCAGACUAGCUUUGCUGGAGCAGCCUCUAUACAUGUUUAACAAAUUAUGGCGGAAGACAUGCAAGCCCUAUGUACUCAUCAAAUCAAUAGAGGGUUGAAAAACCCUGGAAUAUGAGACCAUAUCCCAGAGUAGGGAACGAAGGGGAGUCCUGAAAAUUCAAAAUGUGGUGUGGUAAUACUCGAGGAGUGGAGAGAACAUAAAACCAAGAAAAGACGAAGAAGAAAAGGGUGGUGAUCGGUGCCAUAGUUUUGAGCUUACUACACGGGAAGCUUUGUGCUGGAGCUAGCUGGGUCUCUAUGAUCUUAAUCUGUUGCUUUCUUUGCGAGUUUCGACAAGGCAUGAAACAAGUGAUUGUGGCAACUGAAAAUAACGAUCCACACCCAUGCACACACGCAAAAGGCUGAGAGAGGAAUCCCAAGUGUGCAUCAAUUGCCUUACCUGAUGCCGUGAAAAAUUAUGAUCUCUCAAGGGUUUUCCAAAGUUUUUCCGACAAAGAAGUGUGAGGGUGGGUACUUUCGGUCACAGUGACAUGAUGCCUCGAAAAGAAAAAAGGGCAAGCGACAAAGUAGUUAGCAAUUGCUUGCACGCUGCGGUCAUGGUUCAAAAAGAAAACGCGACUUACAAGCAACUUCUUUUAUAGCA